This 76-nucleotide transfer RNA is filed under the name Flavihumibacter sp. ZG627. RNAcentral describes it as "tRNA-Lys". It matches the Rfam family "tRNA". Rfam says of the family: Transfer RNA (tRNA) molecules are approximately 80 nucleotides in length. The record is from RNAcentral. RNAcentral also lists the same sequence under 3 other names. Lineage: Bacteria; Pseudomonadati; Bacteroidota; Chitinophagia; Chitinophagales; Chitinophagaceae.
GAUCUGGUAGCUCAGUUGGUAGAGCAAUACACUUUUAAUGUAUGGGCCCUGGGUUCGAGUCCCAGCCGGAUCACAA